UCCUCCUGAUGCCCACGGUCCUUCUGUGAGUACUUAACGAGUAUAGUUGUUACUGCCCAAGCUAUAACAUAUUUUUUUUUGGACUAAAUGCCCACGGUCCUUCUCUGAGGACGAAUACUUUGUGUUUGAACCAUAUUUGAAUUUACCGCUAUUAUUUUUUGGGAUUGCAUCAAUGGAUUUAACAUUCCAUCACUGACAGCUGUCAUAAGUGUCAUCUGAGGAUAAUCAAUCGUUCAUUGUACAAACGUCAAAAAACGGAACCAUGGCGGGGCCACCGUCGACUAAAAUAUAAUGCGAAAUCCAAGAAAUUGAAGCAGAUUUAGCUAUGUCGGACAUAGAUCUCUCGGAGGACGAUGACAUGACAUAAAUGACUCACCAUGAACCCGUAGAAUUUGAAUUUUGUGAUGAUGAUAUCCAGGAGUUGCUAGCUGAGCCUUUCAUUUUAUCUUAUUUUGUUCCUAUAUUGAUCCCAAUAAUUAUAAUAGUUGAUAAGUGUAAGAGUUUAUCUAGAAUAAAUAUAAGUUCUAAACUUAUGUGAGACUGAUUUAAAGUGUUAAAUGUGUUCCUAAGUGAUUCUUAUUUCAUAAGUUUUGUUAUUUCUGACAAAUUACCUUAUAAAUAUAUUUCCUACCAAUAAAUUAAACUUUUUUUAACUGCCCACGGUCCUCACAUGAGGACUAAUGAUUUUCGAAUUUAAACCUAUUGAAACUGGUUCCUUUUUUAAUGCAUUAACCGUACAUACUACUAGGAACACUAUAUAAUAAUUUUUGCGACAUUUAUUCACGUUUAAGUUUCUGGGCAGUAAGCUAGGUAAACGCAAUAGUCCUUGUGUGAGGACCGUGGGCAGAUAGUCCUAAAAAAUAAAAUAACGGCUGGGCGUCAGGAGGAUAUACAGG
Plutella xylostella (diamondback moth) is the source of this 896-nucleotide long non-coding RNA. RefSeq lists it as uncharacterized. NCBI's taxonomy places the organism in Eukaryota, Metazoa, Arthropoda, Insecta, Lepidoptera, Plutellidae. The record is from RefSeq and is a predicted model, not a curated record.